UAUGGCGUCCAUUGUUCAUUUGGCGCGCCUUUGCGGCGAUUUCUUCAAUCUACAUCAAUCCACCUGGUAUUUUAAAGAAGAAUAAUAAUAUUUCUUACUGCCCUGAUGUUCAACAAUGUCUACAAAUUGUAAAUAUUUUUCUCCUAACAGCUACAAUCAAUGGGCGAUAAUCAGAUGAAACGUAAUCAAAUCCAGGUUUCUGAAUCGCCAGGAGAGUAAUUAGGGGAAUUUGUCUGCUAAUGUUGUCCAAUACAUGAAGGAUGGGUGUUUGUUGCAGAGCAGCUCCUGGAGGAGAUCGGGCAUUGCCGAGUCGCAGUUCAAUUCAUUUGGUGUCAAGAAGAGAGAAGAAGGGGUGGAUUUGCAGUCAUCGUUUUUUCUUUUCUGAUGAAAUUCACAAUAUUUCAGCUUUGGCGUUCAAAUAAAUUCAAAAGAAGGAAGGAUGUGAACGAGGUGCAGGGCGGAGCAGUACCAACGUGCUCCAACGUGGGAUUCACCG
Long non-coding RNA from Leptopilina boulardi, 496 nucleotides. RefSeq lists it as uncharacterized. NCBI's taxonomy places the organism in Eukaryota, Metazoa, Arthropoda, Insecta, Hymenoptera, Figitidae. The transcript has 5 exons. The record is from RefSeq and is a predicted model, not a curated record.